AUUGAACGCUGGCGGCAGGCCUAACACAUGCAAGUCGAGCGGAUGAAGGGAGCUUGCUCCCGGAUUCAGCGGCGGACGGGUGAGUAAUGCCUAGGAAUCUGCCUGGUAGUGGGGGAUAACGUCCGGAAACGGGCGCUAAUACCGCAUACGUCCUGAGGGAGAAAGUGGGGGAUCUUCGGACCUCACGCUAUCAGAUGAGCCUAGGUCGGAUUAGCUAGUUGGUGGGGUAAAGGCCUACCAAGGCGACGAUCCGUAACUGGUCUGAGAGGAUGAUCAGUCACACUGGAACUGAGACACGGUCCAGACUCCUACGGGAGGCAGCAGUGGGGAAUAUUGGACAAAGGGCGAAAGCCUGAUCCAGCCAUGCCGCGUGUGUGAAGAAGGUCUUCGGAUUGUAAAGCACUUUAAGUUGGGAGGAAGGGCAGUAAGUUAAUACCUUGCUGUUUUGACGUUACCAACAGAAUAAGCACCGGCUAACUUCGUG
RNAcentral lists this ribosomal RNA (484 nucleotides) under uncultured bacterium. RNAcentral describes it as "partial 16S ribosomal RNA". It matches the Rfam family "Bacterial small subunit ribosomal RNA", at positions 30 to 507 of the family's 1533-position model. The record is from RNAcentral.